AGAGUUUGAUCCUGGCUCAGGAUGAACGCUAGCGGCAGGCUUAACACAUGCAAGUCGAGGGGCAUCGCGGGGUAGCAAUACCCUGGCGGCGACCGGCGAAAGGGUGCGUAACGCGUGAGCGACAUGCCCGUCACAGGGGGAUAACCGGCGGAAACGCCGCCUAAUACCCCAUAUGAGGCCAGGCCACAUGGCCGGGCCUUGAAAGUCAAGGCGGUGACGGAUUGGCUCGCGUCCGAUUAGCCAGUUGGCGGGGCAACGGCCCACCAAGGCGACGAUCGGUAGGGGUUCUGAGAGGAAGGCCCCCCACAAUGGAACUGAGACACGGUCCAUACUCCUACGGGAGGCAGCAGUGAGGAAUAUUGGUCAAUGGGCGGAAGCCUGAACCAGCCAUGCCGCGUGCAGGAAUGAGGCCCUACGGGUCGUGAACUGCUUUUCGCGCGGAGCAAUAAGGGGGGUUCGUCCCUCCGAUGAGAGUACGCGC
Molecule: ribosomal RNA, 481 nt
Filed under: uncultured bacterium
Lineage: Bacteria
Description: bacterial SSU rRNA
Rfam family: Bacterial small subunit ribosomal RNA
Source: RNAcentral